AGGACGAACGCUGGCGGCGUGCUUAACACAUGCAAGUCGAACGAGGUUCAAGGGUUAGCAAUAACCUGGAAAACCUAGUGGCGAACGGGUGAGUAACACGUGAGGAACCUACCCCGGACUCAGGGAUAACGGCUGGAAACGGCUGCUAAUACCUGAUGCCGUCGGAGCAUCACAUGGUGCACUGACGAAAGAAUCUCGGUUCGGGAGGGCCUCGCGGCCUAUCAGCUUGUUGGUGGGUAACGGCCUACCAAGGCAUCGACGGGUAGCUGGUCUGAGAGGAUGAUCAGCCACACUGGGACUGAGACACGGCCCAGACUCCUACGGGAGGCAGCAGUGGGGAAUCUUGCGCAAUGGGCGAAAGCCUGACGCAGCAACGCCGCGUGCGGGAAGAAGGCCCUAGGGUUGUAAACCGCUUUCAGUAGGACGAAAUGACGGUACUGCAGAGAAGGUGCGGCCACUACGUGCCAGCAGCCGCGGU
This 478-nucleotide ribosomal RNA is filed under the name uncultured bacterium. RNAcentral's name for it is "SSU rRNA". It matches the Rfam family "Bacterial small subunit ribosomal RNA", at positions 26 to 521 of the family's 1533-position model. The record is from RNAcentral.